AUACGAAGGGGGCUAGCGUUGUUCGGAAUUACUGGGCGUAAAGCGCGCGUAGGCGGAUUGGUCAGUUAGGGGUGAAAUCCCAGGGCUUAACCCUGGAACUGCCUCUAAUACUGCCAGUCUUGAGUUCGGGAGAGGUGAGUGGAAUUCCUAGUGUAGAGGUGAAAUUCGUAGAUAUUAGGAAGAACACCAGUGGCGAAGGCGGCUCACUGGCCCGAUACUGACGCUGAGGCGCGAAAGCGUGGGGAGCAAACAGGGUUAGAUACCCUAGUAGUCC
Molecule: ribosomal RNA, 274 nt
Filed under: uncultured bacterium
Lineage: Bacteria
Description: partial 16S ribosomal RNA
Rfam family: Bacterial small subunit ribosomal RNA
Source: RNAcentral